This 253-nucleotide ribosomal RNA is filed under the name uncultured bacterium. Its description in RNAcentral is "partial 16S ribosomal RNA". It matches the Rfam family "Bacterial small subunit ribosomal RNA", at positions 524 to 776 of the family's 1533-position model. The record is from RNAcentral.
UACGUAUGGAGCAAGCGUUAUCCGGAUUUACUGGGUGUAAAGGGAGCGCAGGCGACUUUGCAAGUCUGAUGUGAAAGGCCGGGGCUCAACCCCGGGACUGCAUUGGAAACUGUAAAGCUAGAGUGCCGGAGGGGUAAGCGGAAUUCCUAGUGUAGCGGUGAAAUGCGUAGAUAUUAGGAGGAACACCAGUGGCGAAGGCGGCUUACUGGACGGUAACUGACGCUGAGGCUCGAAAGCGUGGGGAGCAAACAGG